GCCCAUCACUGAUGCGCUCUCACGCAUAUACACGCACGCGGACUAAAAUGCUACACGCCCCCUCCGUCCAUAGGAUCACAUUUUCUGGGAUCUCAUGGACGCAUGAACUUUAGGCAAAGCAAGCCCGAUUUUGGAAAACAUUAGCUCGCGGUGACACAACACAAGAUCACACAUUUGUACUGAUAGCCGUGCAGAGGAGACGCUCACAGACACAGCAACUCUACAGACAUGUCGGACUCAGAGACCACCGCUCCCGCCGAGGCCCCUGUCCCUGCUGCAUGUGUAACCAUCAAGGCAGACCUGGACAAAUGUGUGAAGGAGGGCGGUGACUGUAAGGACCUGAUGGAGGCGUUUGCAGCCUGUGUGAAAAGUGCAGCGGAGGCGUCGUGAGGAUUGGAGGAAGUCAACUUAAAGGAAAUGUCCACUGCACUGAGUCCUCCACGUUUUCCAGCAUUCCCUUCUGCACAACAAGCACUGGACUGAGUGACACUAGUGUGGUUCGGUGCCUGGCAGAAUCUAUCAAUGUAUCUCCAUCCCACUAACCCUAACCCCUACAACCCCCCCCUGUGAAGCAUAGAAUGCGUCUUCCGAUUUGUACCCUCUGUUCCCUCCAUGGCUGAUAACAUCCAUUUGCAGACACAUCCGGAGAGCCUAUGGGUUUUAUGUCAAUUUAUGUCCACUAGAGAUGCAUAUACAUUUAAAUGGAGUAAUAAAGUCAAAUGUUGGUAUAACACCUGGCCUACUUUACUUUUGUCAACAUUUGUAAAAUCAACUUGGAGGGGUGUUGCUCUAAAAUACGUUUACCCUUUUAGAUCAUAAUGGUUUAGGGCGAAAGAUCCUGGAUCAGGACUAGCCAGGGAUGGUUAAUAAAUACAGGUUUAGACUGUAUUAAUGAAGUGGAUGUGUCUGAUUUAAAGAUGUCAUGAACCUCACUUCACAAGCUUACCUGUUAAGAUGCAACUCAUUCCUUAAUCCAAAAGUUGAAACUGGGAUUAUUCUCACUAAUGCUUUAGAAGCUCCAGGAGAAGGGCGAUUGUGAUUAGCUCUUUAAUCUAGUUACCCCGUAAUGUAAUCCAAAUUGGAUACGCUUUUAUUCUUUAAAUCCAUGGUCACGCUGGCCUGAACACCAGAGACUCAAUUCAGAUGACCAAAUGAGAGCUUGUCCCCUAUACUUGUUCAUUUUGAUGUAUAGACUAUGUGACUGCAGUACGCCAUUGAAAACAUUUGUUCAAAACCAAGUUUCCGGCUUAUUCUAGUUGCCUACCUCUCACUUGCAUUUCCAUGUUUAAAAUCCUUAUGUAAUAAAGGACAGUCUUGAAGGAUUGGGACUAGCCCAGAAAGGCAUUACAAAAGAUCAAGUGUGUACAUUUUUGUCCUGCAGGCCAAUCAAGGGGGCUUCUGGCAUGACACCUUCAUUUUGUGGUAUCUGUGAAAAGAAUGCAAUGCUAAUCAGGAGCUGUAUUGAACUGCCAAAACAUACCUCCUGGGGCUCAGGAAUCAGACCGCUGACACCAGAGAAACAGAUGGGACUAUGUGUACAGUGUGUGUUUCACAUCUGUGGGCAUGUAGGCACCUGGAGUCCGCCCAGAUGGUAAACCUUAAAGGGUUGGUCUCCAUGUUUUUUGGCCAGUCCCCAUGAGGGAACAUUCAAUUUCUGCCAUAGAUUUAAGUGCAAAUGUACAAUUGGGGUUUCUUUUAGGAUUAGCAGUUACCGGUUAGGCAUGAAAGGUUAUUGAUGUUAAGAGCAGUGGGACCUAGGAGCAUCAUGUAAGCAGAUCACUGCCUCUGGAGGCUUAACUUACCUUGCAGUUUAUGAAAUAGGUCACAGGUUAUUAAAAUCCCAAGUGUGUGAGAUGCAGUGAUGUAUUAGCUAUGCAUUCAGAUUAUCCUGCAUGUGUAAAUAGUCUACUGGGAAAGAAGAUUUCAAUCCUGGUGGUGACGCAGUACUUGAAUGUGUGGAUCGUGUGCAACAACUGUCCUCCUGCCCUUUGUUUCCAUUAAUGCAACAUGUAUCACCAUGUGAAGGAACAGAUAUUGUCUUCCUGUACAAACACACGCACAGGACAAAUAUAAGCACCCCUUUUGACACCCAAAUUUAACCAGGACAGCACUCGAUCCAGACGUUCCGUAACCUCAGGACCCUGGGUCUUCAGUGGGACGCCUAUGCAGCUGCCUGAGUGGAAUUCUGCUGAAGAGGGAGUAUAUAUUUUGGUUCAUCCACAGACUUGUCAGGGACGAUGAAGGGGUGUUACCGGAGGCGUAUGGAAAGUGGAUGGUGAUAAGUGAGGGUGUAGACAGAGUAUGAAGGAGUGGCUGGGGUACAUACCGUUUUACAACGCCUGCUGGUGUACUUUCAUAGAAGUAAUUUUAGCAUGUGGCUUGUUUAAACCAUGGUAGUACACAUGCUAGUGAAGUACCUUAAGUCUUUUUUGUUUAGAAUUUGGG
This is a long non-coding RNA of Esox lucius (northern pike), 2445 nucleotides long. Lineage: Eukaryota; Metazoa; Chordata; Actinopteri; Esociformes; Esocidae. The record is from Ensembl.